AUUGAACGCUGGCGGCAGGCCUAACACAUGCAAGUCGAACGGUAACAGGAAGAAGCUUGCUUCUUUGCUGACGAGUGGCGGACGGGUGAGUAAUGUCUGGGAAACUGCCUGAUGGAGGGGGAUAACUACUGGAAACGGUAGCUAAUACCGCAUAACGUCGCAAGACCAAAGAGGGGGACCUCCGGGCCUCUUGCCAUCGGAUGUGCCCAGAUGGGAUUAGCUAGUAGGUGGGGUAACGGCUCACCUAGGCGACGAUCCCUAGCUGGUCUGAGAGGAUGACCAGCCACACUGGAACUGAGACACGGUCCAGACUCCUACGGGAGGCAGCAGUGGGGAAUAUUGCACAAUGGGCGCAAGCCUGAUGCAGCCAUGCCGCGUGUAUGAAGAAGGCCUUCGGGUUGUAAAGUACUUUCAGCGGGGAGGAAGGGAGGAAAGUUAAUACCUUGGCUCAUUGACGUUACCCGCAGAAGAAGCACCGGCUAACUCCGUG
This 490-nucleotide ribosomal RNA is filed under the name uncultured bacterium. RNAcentral describes it as "partial 16S ribosomal RNA". It matches the Rfam family "Bacterial small subunit ribosomal RNA", at positions 30 to 507 of the family's 1533-position model. The record is from RNAcentral.